AGGACUAACGCUGGCGGCGUGCCUAACACAUGCAAGUCGAACGAAGUAGCAAUACUUAGUGGCAGACGGGUGAGUAACACGUAGUCAACCUGCCCUUCAAUGGGGGAUAACUAGCCGAAAGGUUAGCUAAUACCGCAUACGAUCUCUGAGUGGCAUCACUCGGCGAUGAAAGGAGUAAUCCGUUGAAGGAGGGGACUGCGUCCCAUUAGUUAGUUGGUGGGGUAAUGGCCUACCAAGACUCCGAUGGGUAGCUGGCUUGAGAGAGCGACCAGCCACACUGGAACUGAGACACGGUCCAGACUCCUACGGGAGGCAGCAGUGAGGAAUUUUCCGCAAUGGGGGAAACCCUGACGGAGCGACGCCGCGUGUGGGAGAAGGCCUUCGGGUCGUAAACCACUGUCGAGGGGGACGAGUAUUGACGGUACCCCUGGAGGAAGCCCCGGCUAACUACGUGCCAGCAGCCGC
Molecule: ribosomal RNA, 465 nt
Filed under: uncultured bacterium
Lineage: Bacteria
Description: SSU rRNA
Rfam family: Bacterial small subunit ribosomal RNA
Source: RNAcentral